Molecule: ribosomal RNA, 427 nt
Filed under: uncultured bacterium
Lineage: Bacteria
Description: bacterial SSU rRNA
Rfam family: Bacterial small subunit ribosomal RNA
Source: RNAcentral
GAUGAACGCUAGCGGCAGGCUUAAUACAUGCAAGUCGAGGGCUCAGCAAUGGGACCGGCGCACGGGUGCGUAACACGUAUGCAACCUGCCUGUAUCUGGGGGAUAGCCCGAGGAAACUCGGAUUAAUACCGCAUACCACUGAGGGUCGGCAUCGAUUUUCAGUGAAAGAUUUAUCGGAUACAGAUGGGCAUGCGCAGGAUUAGCUAGUUGGUGUGGUAACGGCACACCAAGGCGACGAUCCUUAGGGGCUCUGAGAGGAGUAACCCCCANACUGGCACUGAGAUACGGGCCAGACUCCUACGGGAGCAGCAGUAGGAAUAUUGGGCAAUGGAGGCAACGUCUGACCCAGCCAUGCCGCGUGCAGGAAGACGGCCCUCUGGGUUGUAAAACUGCUUUUUAAGAGGAGGAAAGUGCAGCUUGCGAGCUG